Molecule: ribosomal RNA, 468 nt
Filed under: uncultured bacterium
Lineage: Bacteria
Description: partial 16S ribosomal RNA
Rfam family: Bacterial small subunit ribosomal RNA
Source: RNAcentral
GACGAGCGCUGGCGGCGUGCUUAACACAUGCAAGUCGAACGGAAAGGCCCGGGUUGUGUUGGGGGCUCGAGUGGCGAACGGGUGAGUAACACGUGAGUAACCUGCCCUUGACUUUGGGAUGUCAUCAGGAAACUCGGGCUAAUACCGAAUAGGAUAUCCUGCAGCAUGGUUGCGGCUGGAAAGUUUCGGCGGUUGGGGAUGGACUCGCGGCUCAUCAGCAUGUUGGUGGGGUAGUGGCUUACCAGGGCUUUGGCGGGUAGCCGGCCUGAGAGGGUGACCGGCCACAUUGGGACUGAGAUACGGCCCAGACUCCUACGGGCGGCAGCAGUGGGGAAUAUUGCACAAUAGGCGGAAGCCUGAUGCAGCGACGCCGCGUGCGUGAUGACGGCCUUCGGGUGGUAAACCGCUUUCGCAUGUGACGAAGAGUGAGUGACGGUAAUGGGUAAAGAAGCACCGGCUAACUACGUG